GGGCGCUUGAGGCUGUAUGCCGAAAGCGUUUUGUGGACGGUAUACAGCAGAAAGCCCCAGGCGAUUUUUUUAUCAAUCAACCAGGGGCUCUACUGUAAUGCCUAGACAACAUUAUAGUAGCCCGAUAACCGCCGUAAGGCAAUGGAGGGGCUAUGAUG
Escherichia coli SE11 is the source of this 158-nucleotide non-coding RNA. The record is from Rfam. NCBI's taxonomy places the organism in Bacteria, Pseudomonadati, Pseudomonadota, Gammaproteobacteria, Enterobacterales, Enterobacteriaceae.